AAGAAGCAAGUCGAAGAGCUGGAGCAGCAGAAUAAGGGGCUGAAGGAACAAACUGAAGAACUCCAGAAACAGAUUGAAGAACUUAAUCUGAGUUCUGCCCAAAUUCUGGCUGCUGGAUUCGAGGCUGCACGGGAACAGUUUGCAUGCUUGUUCCCCGAUCUGGAUCUCAGCAUGGUGUCCCUAAACAACGAGGUGGUGGAUGGGAAGGUGGUUCCCGUCGAAGACUGAUCAAUUUCCC
Molecule: long non-coding RNA, 238 nt
Filed under: Phaseolus vulgaris (common bean)
Lineage: Eukaryota; Viridiplantae; Streptophyta; Magnoliopsida; Fabales; Fabaceae
Description: long non-coding RNA (PVUL_LNC000211)
Source: RNAcentral